GCGGUACAGGUGUAGCAAUACAUGCUGACGAGCGGCGGACGGGUGAGUAACGCUUGGGAAUCUGCCUGUUAGUGGGGGACAACCCGGGGAAACUCGGGCUAAUACCGCAUACGCACUAAGGUGGAAAGCCGGGGACCGCAAGGCCUGGCGCUAACAGAUGAGCCCAAGUCGGAUUAGCUAGUUGGUGGGGUAAUGGCCUACCAAGGCGACGAUCCGUAACUGGUCUGAGAGGACGACCAGUCACACCGGAACUGAGACACGGUCCGGACUCCUACGGGAGGCAGCAGUGGGGAAUAUUGGACAAUGGGCGAAAGCCUGAUCCAGCGACGCCGCGUGGGUGAAGAAGGCCUGCGGGUUGUAAAGCCCUUUCGGUGGGGAAGAAAAGUUUCGACCUAACACGUCGGGACCUUGACGUAACCCACUAAAGAAGCACCGGCUAACUCUGUGCCAGCAGCCGCGGUAAUACAGAGGGUGCGAGCGUUAAUCGGAAUUACUGGGCGUAAAGCGCGCGUAGGCGGCUUUGCAAGUCGGGUGUGAAAUCCCCAGGCUUAACCUGGGAACUGCACUCGAGACUGCAUCGCUAGAGUAUGGGAGAGGGAAGUGGAAUUUCAGGUGUAGCGGUGAAAUGCGUAGAUAUCUGAAGGAACAUCAGUGGCGAAAGCGACUUCCUGGACCAAUACUGACGCUCGUGUGCGAAAGCGUGGGGAGCAAACAGGAUUAGAUACCCUGGUAGUCCACGCCAUAAACGAUGAGAACUGG
This 759-nucleotide ribosomal RNA is filed under the name uncultured bacterium. RNAcentral describes it as "bacterial SSU rRNA". It matches the Rfam family "Bacterial small subunit ribosomal RNA", at positions 66 to 819 of the family's 1533-position model. The record is from RNAcentral.